This 301-nucleotide ribosomal RNA is filed under the name uncultured bacterium. RNAcentral's name for it is "partial 16S ribosomal RNA". It matches the Rfam family "Bacterial small subunit ribosomal RNA", at positions 509 to 809 of the family's 1533-position model. The record is from RNAcentral.
CAGCAGCCGCAGGAAUACAGAGGGUGCAAGCGUUAAUCGGAAUUACUGGGCGUAAAGCGCGCGUAGGUGGUUUGUUAAGUUGGAUGUGAAAGCCCCGGGCUCAACCUGGGAACUGCAUCCAAAACUGGCAAGCUAGAGUACGGUAGAGGGUGGUGGAAUUUCCUGUGUAGCGGUGAAAUGCGUAGAUAUAGGAAGGAACACCAGUGGCGAAGGCGACCACCUGGACUGAUACUGACACUGAGGUGCGAAAGCGUGGGGAGCAAACAGGAUUAGAUACCCCGGUAGUCCCUGUCUCUUAUAA